Molecule: long non-coding RNA, 1113 nt
Filed under: Marmota monax (woodchuck)
Lineage: Eukaryota; Metazoa; Chordata; Mammalia; Rodentia; Sciuridae
Source: RNAcentral
AAUUCUUUCAGGCUUUUUAAUAGGUAAUCAGACUGUCUGGAAAUAAUGACAAUUGUAUUUCUCCAAUCACUAUUCCUUAUUCUUUUUCUUGUCUCCCUUUACCUGGUAACUAGAAGUGGUGACAGAGGCUUCCCUGUCUCCCCCCUAGUUUUGACAGCAAUCCUGACAUUCCAUUAUGUAGCGUGAUCGUAGACACUGUUUAUUGGGCUAUGAGGUUUUCUUCUCUUCCAAGUUUGCUUUCUUUUCUUUAAAUCAAUAAUAAGGGUUGAACUUUACGGAUUGCUUUUUUAGCAUCUAUGAGUUGAUCAGAUUGUUUCUCUUCUUUAAUCUAUUAAUGUAGUGAAUUGUAGGAGCAAAUUUUUUAAAUAUUUCAAACUAUCUUUUCAUUCCUGGGGAGAACCCAUCUUGGUCAUGGUCUAUCAUGUUUUUGCCAUUCAACGCUAGGUUCCGUUUAAUACUUUGUGUAGAAUGUUUGUAUUUUAGCCAGAUUGGCUCUCAUCUUCCUUUCCCAUAUUGUACUUGUCUGCAUUUGUCUUUGUCUUUAAGAUCACACUAUGGCCAGGCCUGGUGGAACACACCUGUAAUCUCAGUGGCUUGGGAGGCUGAGGCAGGAGGAUUGAGAGUUCAAAGCCAGCCUCAGCAACUUAGCAAGGCCCUAUCUCUAAAUAAAAUAGAAAAAAAGGCUGGGGUUGUGGCUCAGUGAUUAAGCGCCCUGGGAUUCAACCCUUGGUAUCAAAAAAAAAAAAAAAAGAAAAUAAAAUAAAAUCACACUCUGCUCAUGAAAUGGAGCCUAGGGAUGUUCUUUUUUCUUUCUUCCUUGCUUUCUUUUUAUUUUCUGAAAAAGUAUGAGAUUGGAGCUGUCUGUUCUUUGAAUGUAUGGUAGACUGCAGUAAAAAUCAUGAGGCUAAUGAUGUGAGGGGUAUUUUUUUGAGGGUGGUAGAUGGACUUUUAUCUACAUAUUCAAAUUUCUUUAAUGGUUAUACAUUUCAAAUUUCCUGGAGUAUUGGUAAGAUAUCUUUCUAGAUAUCUUAUAUUUCUAGGAUAGUGUUUAUCUUGGGAAGGUUUUCAAACUUAUCAUCAUAAGACUUACGGUUUAUUUGCAGUUUAUUUUAG